UACGUAGGGUGCAAGCGUUGUCCGGAAUUAUUGGGCGUAAAGAGCUCGUAGGCGGUGUGUCGCGUCUGCUGUGAAAACUCAGGGCUCAACUCUGAGCUUGCAGUGGGUACGGGCACACUAGAGUGCUGUAGGGGAGACUGGAAUUCUCGGUGUAGCGGUGAAAUGCGUAGAUAUCGAGAGGAACACCUGCGGCGAAGGCGGGUUGCUGGGCUGACACUGACGCUGAAACGCGAAAGCUAGGGAGCGAACGGG
Molecule: ribosomal RNA, 252 nt
Filed under: uncultured bacterium
Lineage: Bacteria
Description: partial 16S ribosomal RNA
Rfam family: Bacterial small subunit ribosomal RNA
Source: RNAcentral